GUCGAUGUUCUGUUUGGCAAUAUAGGAUCUAAAGAAAACCUUCAAGAAGUUGGACCAUGAUGUAAAUAUAGAGAAUUUUAUGUGUUCACGAAAGAAGUUUCAGAUGUGGCGAUGGAAGAAGUUCAGGGUGAUGGUAAUCUACUGAUUUCCAAUCAGGAAUUGAGGAAUCAAUUAAGGGUAUUGCAAGCUCAACUUAUAGGAGUACAAAAGAGACUGAGAUGCACCUUAUGGGCUUUUGUUUUUUGAAGUACUGCUUUUUCUUUCGAUUCUUGUGGAUCGUAUUGUUAGUGUUAGAUGG
Molecule: long non-coding RNA, 298 nt
Organism: Carya illinoinensis
Lineage: Eukaryota; Viridiplantae; Streptophyta; Magnoliopsida; Fagales; Juglandaceae
Exons: 3
Source: RefSeq, a predicted model, not a curated record